CAGUCGAGGGGCAGCGGGGAGGAAGCUUGCUUUCUGCCGCCGGCGACCGGCGCACGGGUGAGUAACACGUAUGCAACCUGGCCGUGACAGAUGGAUAACCGGGAGAAAUCCCGCCUAAUACAACAUAAUGCCGGGAGGGGACAUCCCCUGCCGGCCAAAGGGGGCGACCCCGGUCACGGAUGGGCAUGCGGCGCAUUAGGUAGUUGGUGGGGCAACGGCCCACCAAGCCGACGAUGCGUAGGGGUUCUGAGAGGAAGGUCCCCCACAUUGGAACUGAGACACGGUCCAAACUCCUACGGGAGGCAGCAGUGAGGAAUAUUGGUCAAUGGCCGGAAGGCUGAACCAGCCAAGUCGCGUGAGGGAAUAAGGCCCUACGGGUCGUAAACCUCUUUUGCCAGGGAGCAAUGCCGUCCACGUGUGGACGGAAGGAGAGUACCUGGAGAAAAAGCAUCGGCUAACUCCGUGCCAGCAGCCGCGGUAAUACGGAGGAUGCGAGCGUUAUCCGGAUUUAUUGGGUUUAAAGGGUGCGUAGGCGGCCUGCCAAGUCAGCGGUAAAAUUGCGGGGCUCAACCCCGUACAGCCGUUGAAACUGCCGGGCUCGAGUGGGCGAGAAGUAUGCGGAAUGCGUGGUGUAGCGGUGAAAUGCAUAGAUAUCACGCAGAACCCCGAUUGCGAAGGCAGCAUACCGGCGCCCGACUGACGCUGAGGCACGAAAGUGCGGGGA
Molecule: ribosomal RNA, 724 nt
Filed under: uncultured bacterium
Lineage: Bacteria
Description: bacterial SSU rRNA
Rfam family: Bacterial small subunit ribosomal RNA
Source: RNAcentral